GCCGAGGUGGUGAAAUUGGUAGACACGCAGGCUUCAGGUGUCUGUGGGGGCAACCCCGUGGAGGUUCAAGUCCUCUCCUCGGCA
This 84-nucleotide transfer RNA is filed under the name Gammaproteobacteria bacterium RIFCSPHIGHO2_12_FULL_43_28. RNAcentral's name for it is "tRNA-Leu". It matches the Rfam family "tRNA". From Rfam's summary of the family: Transfer RNA (tRNA) molecules are approximately 80 nucleotides in length. Their secondary structure includes four short double-helical elements and three loops (D, anti-codon, and T loops). The record is from RNAcentral. Lineage: Bacteria; Pseudomonadati; Pseudomonadota; Gammaproteobacteria.